This 253-nucleotide ribosomal RNA is filed under the name uncultured Lachnospiraceae bacterium. RNAcentral's name for it is "partial 16S ribosomal RNA". It matches the Rfam family "Bacterial small subunit ribosomal RNA", at positions 524 to 776 of the family's 1533-position model. The record is from RNAcentral. Lineage: Bacteria; Bacillati; Bacillota; Clostridia; Lachnospirales; Lachnospiraceae.
UACGUAGGGGGCGAGCGUUAUCCGGAUUCACUGGGUGUAAAGGGAGCGUAGACGGCCAUGCAAGCCAGGGGUGAAAGCCCGGGGCUCAACCCCGGGACUGCAUUGGAAACUGUCGCGCUCGAGUGUCGGAGAGGUAAGUGGAAUUCCUAGUGUAGCGGUGAAAUGCGUAGAUAUUAGGAGGAACACCAGUGGCGAAGGCGGCUUACUGGACGACAACUGACGCUGAGGCUCGAAAGCGUGGGGAGCAAACAGG